GAUGAACGCUAGCUACAGGCUUAACACAUGCAAGUCGAGGGACCGGCGCACGGGUGAGUAACGCGUAUACAACCCUCCCAAUACUCGGUCAUAACCCGUUGAAAGACGGACUAAUUCCUGAUGCUAUUGGACGCGGAUGCGUCUGAUUAGUUUGUUGGUGAGGUAACGGCUCACCAAGACUUCGAUCAGUAGGGGUUCGGAGAGGAAGACCCCCAACAUUGGAAAUGAGGCCCAGACCAAACUCCGAGGAGGGGCAGCAGUAAGGAAUACUGGUCAAGGAAUGCAAAUCUGAACCAGCCAAGGAUCGUGCAGGAUGACGGCGUUUGGGUUGUAAACUGCUUUUAUGUAAGAAAAUGUAUCACAUGAAGAAGGACCGGCUAAUUCCGUGCCAGCAGCCGCGGUAAUAC
This 407-nucleotide ribosomal RNA is filed under the name uncultured bacterium. RNAcentral's name for it is "partial 16S ribosomal RNA". It matches the Rfam family "Bacterial small subunit ribosomal RNA", at positions 28 to 526 of the family's 1533-position model. The record is from RNAcentral.